CGGGACGCUUGGGAAGCCCCCAGGGAAACAGGGGAAAGGCCGCGCCACGGGCUGUGCCGCCCUCCACCCCGUAGCACUGGCCAGUGCCGUUGCCCGUCUCGGCUAUGGCGGGGCUCGCUGGCGCCGGCUGCACCGCCUCGGCGAUGGGGAACGGGCCCCGGGGCCAGAGCGUCACCUUUGUGGUCGGCAUGCGGGGAGCCGCGACUCCCGCGGCUGCGUACCUGAAGGAGCACCUCAUACGGGUUCUCUUCCUGCUGGCCGCCAGGCUCACCGAGGCUGUGUUCAAUGUCAUAGCGUUUUCCAGCAAGGUGUUAAAAUGGUGCAACUGCUUGGUCAGAUGUUCACUCUGUAGUGUCACCGAAGCAGCAGCCUGGAUUAGAUCCCUGCACUUUGAGAAUGGCAUGGAUGCUGCAAGUGGCUUGGCUGUGGCAUUUGAAGACCCAGACUGUGAGGAAGUGUAUCUGCUCACCAACAUGCUCCCAGAGCAGGAAUCAGAGGAAAUCUGUCAACUUCUUGCAGAGAACAAGUUGCAUCCAGUACAUGUUGUAUGCCUUUUGGGAGAUUCAGAUGAUUAUGAAAGAGGCAAGCAAAAAACAAUGGAAAAAGUAGCCAGACAGUCUGGGGGAUCCUUUCAAGUGAUCAGACUCCCUCAUACUGCUUCUGAAAAGGUAUGCCACUAAUAGAAGAUUGCUCAAAAAUGAGUUCCUCCUGAAUCUUUAUUAGAUGGCAUUUCACCAAGUAGAACUGGUGAAGAGGAAGUUUUCUAUAACUCUCUAGAAAGGUAACCUUAUUUUGCCUGGCUGUUUAUGAGCAAAGUUGUCUGUGAACAAAGUUUUAAAAUAGAUUUGGCAUCUCUGUGACAGGCUAUACCUGAAAUCGCAAGUUGGUAUUAUCCACCCUUCUAAAUGUGCACUGCUCAUUCCUUAGAGCCCUGCUUGGGAGGAAAGGGAGCAGUUCAUGUAGCUCCUGCACAACAGGCAUUGUGACCAACGUUUGGGGUCAAAUUCAGUUAUAUCUUGGUUUAGCUCCAUUUAUUUCUGCUGAGCCAGAUUUGGCUUGUAAAGUGAUUUCACUGAGCUUUACAGACCAGCACUUGGAAAGAGGUGACACUGACAGGUGGAGGUGAAGAUCCUGAAGGAAAGAAAGAACAAAUGCCUUGUUCAGUUUCAUAUUUUCUUUGCUAGUUGACUGUACAGCUUUGCCUCCAUCCAGUUUACCAUGAUUCAUGGAUUUUAUUGUUGUUUUACCCAUCAGCAGGGGUGGCUGAAUACUGCCUUUUAAAUAAAUAAAUAACAAUAUCAUGUAAAUCA
RNAcentral lists this long non-coding RNA (1310 nucleotides) under Dromaius novaehollandiae (emu). RNAcentral describes it as "lncRNA (ENSDNVG00000010020.1)". Lineage: Eukaryota; Metazoa; Chordata; Aves; Casuariiformes; Dromaiidae. The record is from RNAcentral.